AACGAACGCUGGCGGCAUGCCUAACACAUGCAAGUCGAACGAAACCUUCGGGUCUAGUGGCGCACGGGUGCGUAACGCGUGGGAACCUGCCUUUAGGUUCGGAAUACCUCAGAGAAAUUUGAGCUAAUACCGGAUGAUGUCUUCGGACCAAAGAUUUCUCGCCUUUAGAUGGGCCCGCGUUGGAUUAGCUAGUUGGUGGGGUAAAGGCCUACCAAGGCGACGAUCCAUAGCUGGUCUGAGAGGAUGAUCGGCCACACUGGGACUGAGACACGGCCCAGACUCCUACGGGAGGCAGCAGUGGGGAAUAUUGGACAAUGGGCGAAAGCCUGAUCCAGCAAUGCCGCGUGAGUGAUGAAGGCCUUAGGGUUGUAAAGCUCUUUUACCCGAGAUGAUAAUGACAGUAUCGGGAGAAUAAGCUCCGGCUAACUCCGUG
Molecule: ribosomal RNA, 433 nt
Filed under: uncultured bacterium
Lineage: Bacteria
Description: partial 16S ribosomal RNA
Rfam family: Bacterial small subunit ribosomal RNA
Source: RNAcentral